GUGAGAUUUCCAAUGUAAGUUAGUACUCCUCUUGACAAGGAUCGAAUUCUCCCUCGCGGCCUGUUAAACCGAAGGCAUUGCUGUCUACUUUAAAGCAUUUCAAGCAAUGUUU
Small nuclear RNA from Thalassophryne amazonica, 112 nucleotides. Lineage: Eukaryota; Metazoa; Chordata; Actinopteri; Batrachoidiformes; Batrachoididae. The record is from RefSeq and is a predicted model, not a curated record.